This 284-nucleotide ribosomal RNA is filed under the name uncultured bacterium. RNAcentral describes it as "partial 16S ribosomal RNA". It matches the Rfam family "Bacterial small subunit ribosomal RNA", at positions 773 to 1060 of the family's 1533-position model. The record is from RNAcentral.
GUGGAUUAGAUACCCUAGUAGUCCACGCCGUAAACGAUGAUCACUCGCUGUUGGCGAUACACUGUCAGCGGCUAAGCAAAAGCAUUAAGUGAUCCACCUGGGGAGUACGACCGCAAGGUUGAAACUCAAAGGAAUUGACGGGGGCCCGCACAAGCGGAGGAACAUGUGGUUUAAUUCGAUGAUACGCGAGGAACCUUACCUGGGCUUAAAUGUAGAGUGCAUUGGUGUGAAAGCAUCAUUUUCUUCGGAACUCUCUGCAAGGUGCUGCACGGUCGUCGCCAACU